CAUUUCACUCCUAAAAAUGAAGUCCUUGUCUCAGCUUCUGUGGCUGUUAAUGCUCUGGAUCCCUGGAUCAAGUGGAAAUGUUGUGAUGACCCAGACUCCACUCUCCUUUCCUGUCACACUAGGAGAGCUGACCUCCAUCUCCUGCAGGUCUAGUCAGAACUUUCUAUAUAGCAAUGGGAACACAUACUUGAAAUGGUUCCUGCAGAAGCGAGGGGUGUCUCCACAACUCCUGAUCUCUGAGGUUUCCAACAGAGAAUCUGGGAUCUCAGAAAGACUCAGUGGCAGUGGGUCAGGCACAGAUAGCACAUUGAAAAUCAGCAGUGUGGAAACUGAGGAUGCAGGGGUGUAUUACUGCUGUCAAGCUACACAUGAUCCUCCCACAGUGAUACAUCCCUGAACUAGAACCUCUCCUCUGGCUGGGUGAGCAGCCCUCAUGUGUUGUUGGUCUGGGAAGCUGCAGAGAAGAUUGUCUGAAUGAGCUGAGGAGGAAGACAUUGUGAUCAAUGUGACUGGGUGGACAUGAAGAGCAUAUGAUAAUUGGAUGACUUGCAAACUACAAAGAGCAGGAAAAAAUC
Molecule: non-coding RNA, 575 nt
Organism: Dipodomys ordii (Ord's kangaroo rat)
Lineage: Eukaryota; Metazoa; Chordata; Mammalia; Rodentia; Heteromyidae
Source: the annotation of a RefSeq genome assembly